Melospiza georgiana is the source of this 2600-nucleotide RNA transcript. It is a transcript of the gene named potassium inwardly rectifying channel subfamily J member 10, with no coding region annotated. NCBI's taxonomy places the organism in Eukaryota, Metazoa, Chordata, Aves, Passeriformes, Passerellidae. The transcript has 3 exons. The record is from RefSeq and is a predicted model, not a curated record.
CCCGUCCCGCCGCCGCGGCCCCGCCGAGCCAUAAAGCCCAUGGGGAGCCGGCCGGGCUGAGCACGGCGGGACCCGCGACCCCCCCAGCAAGAUGACGUCCUCCACCAAGGUGUACUACAGCCAGACCACGCAGACCGACAGCCGCCCCCUGAUGGGGCCGGGGCUGCGGCGGCGCCGCGUGCUGACCAAGGACGGCCGCAGCAACGUGCGCAUGGAGCACAUCUCGGACAAGCGCUUCCUGUACCUCAAGGACCUGUGGACCACCUUCAUCGACCUCCAGUGGCGCUACAAGCUCCUGCUCUUCUCCGCCACCUUCGCCGGCACCUGGUUCGCCUUCGGCGUGGUGUGGUACCUGGUGGCGGCGGCGCACGGCGACCUGCUGGAGUUCGAGCCGCCCGCCAACCACACGCCGUGCGUGAUGCAGGUGCACACGCUCACCGGCGCCUUCCUCUUCUCCCUCGAGUCGCAGACCACCAUCGGCUACGGCUUCCGCUACAUCAGCGAGGAGUGCCCGCUGGCCAUCGUGCUGCUCAUCACCCAGCUGGUGCUCACCACCAUCCUGGAGAUCUUCAUCACCGGCACCUUCCUGGCCAAGAUCGCGCGGCCCAAGAAGCGCGCCGAGACCAUCAAGUUCAGCCAGAACGCCGUGGUGGCGCAGCACGACGGCAAGACCUGCCUGAUGAUCCGCGUGGCCAACAUGAGGAAGAGCCUCCUGAUCGGCUGCCAGGUCACCGGCAAGCUGCUGCAGACCCACCUGACCAAGGAGGGCGAGAGCGUGCGCCUCAACCAGCUCAACGUGGACUUCCAGGUGGACACGUCCUCGGACAGCCCCUUCCUCAUCCUCCCGCUGACCUUCUACCACGUGGUGGACGAGGCCAGCCCGCUGCGGGACGUGUCCCUGCGCUCGGGCGACGGCGACUUCGAGCUGGUGGUCAUCCUGAGCGGCACCGUGGAGUCCACCAGCGCCACGUGCCAGGUGCGCACGUCCUACCUGCCCGAGGAGAUCCUGUGGGGCUACGAGUUCACGCCGGCCAUCUCGCUGUCGGCCAGCGGCAAGUACGUGGCCGACUUCAGCCUCUUCGACCGCGUGGUGAAGGUGGCGGCGCCGUGCUGUCACCACGAGGCUGUGCGGUUCGGGGACCCCGAGAAGGUCAAGCUGGAGGAGUCGCUGCGCGAGGCCGAGCGGGACGGGGAGGGGGCCCCGCUCAGCGUCCGCAUCAGCAACGUCUGAGAUGGGGGACACGGAGGUGACAUCGGAGCCGGGGCAAGGGGUGGCCAGGGGUGGCGGCGGAGCGAGGGGGUGGUGGUGGAAGGUGGAGGUGGCACCAGGGUCAGGGGGGCACAAACAUCUUGGGGUGUCAUUGGAUUCAAGGGGACAGCGACAUCUGGGGAUGUCACCAGCCCCAAAGGGACACCAACAAAUGGCGGUGCCACCAGCCCCAAAGGGACACCAACAUCUGGAGGUGUCACUGAUUCAAGGGGACACCAACAUGUGGAGGUGCCACCAGCCCCAAAGAGACACCAGCCCCAAAGGGACACCAACACCUGGAGGUGUCAUUGGAUUCAAGGGGACACCAGCAUCUGGGGGUGUCACGGUUUCAAGGGGACACCAGCAACUGGAGGUGUCACCAGCCCUGGAGGUGCCACCAGCCCCAAAGGGACACCAAUAUCUGGAGGUAUCACCAGUGCUGGAGGUGCCACCAGCCCCAAAGCGACAUCAGCAUCUGGGAGUGUCACUGAUUCAAGGGGACACCAAUAUCUGGAGGUGUCACCAGCCCUGGAGGUGCCACCAGUCUCAGAGUGUUACCAAGCCUGGAAGUGUCACCAGCCUCAAGGGGACACAAAUGUCUGGAGCUGCCACCGGUCCCAAAGUGUCACCCACCCCUGGAGGUGUCACCAACAUCUGGAGGCGCUGCCAGGCCCAAAAUGCCACCAGUCUCUAAUAGUGUCACCAACGCCCAGAAGAGCCACCAGCCAAGAUUCCCCCAGUGCCUGGAAGUGUCACUAAGGCCUGGAAGUGCCACCAUCUGGAGGUGCCACCAACCCGUGGAGAUGCCACCAUGCCUGGAGGUGACACCAGCCCCAAAGUGCCACCAGCCCCUGGAGAUGCCACCAGCCCUAAGAUGGCACCAUUCCCCGGAGGUGACACCAGUCCCUGGUGCCCCAAAGUGCCACCAAGCCCUGGAGUGCCACCAACCACUGUGGAGGUGCCACCAACCCCUGGAGGUGCCACCAACCCCUGUGGAGAUGCCACCAGCCCCUGGAGGUGUCACUAACCCCUUGGAGGUGCCACCAAUGCCUAGAAUUGCCACCAACCCAUGGAGGUGCCACCACCCCUGGAGUCCCCUGGAGGUGCCACCAACGCCUGGAGGUGCCACCAGCCCCAAUGUGCCACCAAUGCCUAGAAUUGUCACCAAGCCCUGGAGGUUUCACCACCCCUGGAGGUGCCACCGUCCCUGGAGUGUCACCACCCCCAGGGUGCUGCUGCUCCCCCCCCCUGCCAGGGGAAACUGAGGCAGGAGCCCCCUCCCCGCCCCCCCCAAGCGCUGGAGCCCCUCCCUGUGCCUCCCCCCCACUCCGGGCGGUGUCGGGGGGUCCCC